Molecule: ribosomal RNA, 497 nt
Filed under: uncultured bacterium
Lineage: Bacteria
Description: partial 16S ribosomal RNA
Rfam family: Bacterial small subunit ribosomal RNA
Source: RNAcentral
GAUGAACGCUGGCGGCGUGCCUAAUACAUGCAAGUCGAGCGAACGGACGAGAAGCUUGCUUUUCUGAUGUUAGCGGCGGACGGGUGAGUAACACGUGGAUAACCUACCUAUAAGACUGGGAUAACUUCGGGAAACCGGAGCUAAUACCGGAUAAUAUUUUGAACCGCAUGGUUCAAAAGUGAAAGACGGUCUUGCUGUCACUUAUAGAUGGAUCCGCGCUCCAUUAGCUAGUUGGUAAGGUAACGGCUUACCAAGGCAACGAUGCAUAGCCGACCUGAGAGGGUGAUCGGCCACACUGGAACUGAGACACGGUCCAGACUCCUACGGGAGGCAGCAGUAGGGAAUCUUCCGCAAUGGGCGAAAGCCUGACGGGGCAACGCCGCGUGAGUGAUGAAGGUCUUCGGAUCGUAAAACUCUGUUAUUAGGGAAGAACAUAUGUGUAAGUAACUGUGCACAUCUUGACGGUACCUAAUCAGAAAGCCACGGCUAACUACGUG